GGAGAUGCGGGGCAGCCCCCCGCCAUCGCGGCACCCCCCGCGGAGCCCCCCCGGCUUUUCCGCUCCCCCCUGGGGCUGCCCCUGUCCCGGCACCUGCUGCUCUGGGCCCGGGUGCCACACCCCGGUGCCACCAAGGACUGUUUGCUGCUCUGCGCCGCCGGCCUGCGCCCCCCGCCCGCGCCCCCCGGGACCCCCCCCUAAUUCCCCAAAGUGUCCCCAAAGUGUCCCCGAGGUGUCACCGAGGUGUCCCCAAGGUGUCCCCGACUCCCGUUUGUUGCACUUGAGCCCCCCUUUACCACGGGGGGGCGACCCUGUACAGAGACCCCUCCCCAAAAUCACGGGACCCCCCC
Molecule: long non-coding RNA, 350 nt
Organism: Zonotrichia leucophrys gambelii
Lineage: Eukaryota; Metazoa; Chordata; Aves; Passeriformes; Passerellidae
Exons: 3
Source: RefSeq, a predicted model, not a curated record